This 506-nucleotide ribosomal RNA is filed under the name uncultured Bacillus sp. RNAcentral's name for it is "bacterial SSU rRNA". It matches the Rfam family "Bacterial small subunit ribosomal RNA", at positions 9 to 496 of the family's 1533-position model. The record is from RNAcentral. Lineage: Bacteria; Bacillati; Bacillota; Bacilli; Caryophanales; Bacillaceae.
GAGUUUGAUCCUGGGCUCAGGACGAACGCUGGCGGCGUGCCUAAUACAUGCAAGUCGAACGAACGGAUAAAGAGCUUGCUCUUUUGAAGUUAGUGGCGGACGGGUGAGUAACACGUGGGUAACCUGCCUCACAGCUGGGGAUAACAUCGAGAAAUCGAUGCUAAUACCGAAUGUGCUGAACAUCAUAAGAUGUUCAAGUGAAAGACGGUUUCGGCUGUCACUGCGAGAUGGACCCGCGCUGGAUUAGCUAGUUGGUAAGGUAAUGGCUUACCAAGGCGACGAUCCAUAGCCGACCUGAGAGGGUGAUCGGCCACAUUGGGACUGAGACACGGCCCAAACUCCUACGGGAGGCAGCAGUAGGGAAUCUUCGGCAAUGGACGAAAGUCUGACCGAGCAACGCCGCGUGAGUGAAGAAGGUUUUCGGAUCGUAAAACUCUGUUGUUAGAGAAGAACGUUGUGUAGAGUGGAAAUUACACAAGUGACGGUAUCUAACCAGAAAGGGACGG